GCCAGCAUGGCAUAGUGGUUUGAGGGUUAUACUACGACUCUGGAGACCAGGGUUUGAUUCCCAGCUUGGGCA
This 72-nucleotide transfer RNA is filed under the name Phrynosoma platyrhinos (Desert horned lizard). RNAcentral's name for it is "tRNA-OTHER". The record is from RNAcentral. Lineage: Eukaryota; Metazoa; Chordata; Lepidosauria; Squamata; Phrynosomatidae.